UUUUAAUUUUAUGAUGGCUUUAUUGAAAUCUAUAAAUUAUUUUCCAAAAAAAACUGUAAAGAAAUGAGGAAUAAUUAACGCUUCAAUUCCUGCCAAACAUAUGGAUGCAGAAGGCCGCUGGAUUCUGAAAUGUACUAAAUCCGACCGACUCCAAAUAAUACACAAAAUUACAUAAGAGGCCAUCACAUCGCCUCCUGGAGUUUCUCCUCCAUCGGACACACCCUUCACCGCCCAAAACCGCCCUUUCGCGUUACCCACUUCUUCUUUCCCCGAUAUACCUUGUUUGGAUUAUCCGAUCUAGACUUCCUCGCUCUGAAAUUAGCAGGUAUCUUCUCUGUUACAAUAGAUUUCGUUUUCCUCUUUAGAUCCCAACGAAUUUAUUCUUUUUUUUUUUAUUUUAUUUUAUAUUGAUUCUAUAAAAAGGAGGACAAAAUGAACUCCAACUAUGGGAAAGGUUCAUCUGGGUCCUUAAACAACUUCAAUUUUGAUUUCGGGAUAGGCUCCAACCGAUCCAAAUCCCUUAACGAGCAAAAGAACCAAACUUCCUCUUCAUAUUUCUCAUAUGCAUCUUCAACAACUACACAAGCAAAGCCUGCGUGGCAACCCAACAAACCCUCCUGGACUCACCAACCCUCACCGAGUCAACCUACUCGGCCUGGACUCAACGGACCCACUUCGAUGGUGGGCGAUAUAUUUGGGAAGAGCUGGAAUUCAACUGCUUCAGGUUCUGGGAUUGGGAUCGCGGAGAAGAACCCAAAUUUGUUUGGGGAUCUGGUUAGCUCUGCUUUGGGGCAAGGAAAUGAGGGUAAUAUCAAUGUUCCUUUGAAAAAUGCUACACCCACAUCGAAGAAUAGUGCAUUUUCGAUGGGAAAUCUGGCUGAUUCAUUGCCCAAAUCGAGUGAUUCAGUGAAAAGUGGUAAUGAUAGGGGAUCUAAUAAUUUUGGGAGUUAUUCUGGUGGAUACAAUAUAAACAGCAGUAAUGUUAAUGCUACUGGUAUUGGUAAUGGCAAUGUUAGUAGUAAUAAAAGUCCAAAUCUUGGCGGUCCUUCAAUGAAAAGUAUGAGUGGAAGUGGACUUGGGGGUGGAGGUGGAGUUGUAGUGGGUGGAAACAGGGAUCCAUUUGGUUCUUUGGUUGAUUUUGGAUCAAAACAACAAUAUGGUGGUCUUAAUCCGGAAAGUAAAACUGUUAAGACUAGUGCAAGAGAUGAUGCAUUUGGAGAUUUUCAAAAUGCUGCAAAACCAAGCACAACAGCUUUUCCAUCAGGUGGUUUUGGUGCAAAGAACAAUGAUUUCAUGGGAUCAAAUAUCUGUUCCAAUUCAAAUGUUGAUGAUUUUGGGAUGCCUAGCAAUGACUUAACUUCUCAGAAGCAGACUUCUCUUCAAACAUCAAGUGGAGAUCCACUUGACAUGUUAUUUUCCUCUUCCUCGGGAGGUGCAGCAACAGCAUCUAGAGGAACGGGAGGGCAGCAGUUCUCAGAAGUUGAUGAUUGGGGAUUGGAUUCAGAGUUAGGAGGAGGAGCUGGAAAUGAUUCAGGUGGGGCAACGACUGAGCUUGAAGGGCUUCCACCUCCUCCUGCUGGGGUCACAGCUUCUGCAGCAAAGAACAAGGGUAUUGAUAACCAAAAGCAGGGCCAAUACGCUGAUGCCAUCAAGUGGUUGUCUUGGGCUGUAGUUCUUCUUGAGAAAACUGGUGAUCAGGCUUCCAGCAUGGAGGUUUUAUCUUGCAGAGCUUCAUGUUAUAAAGAAGUUGGAGAAUAUAAGAAGGCAGUGGCUGACUGUACAAAGGUGCUUGAACAUGAUGAUGCAAAUGUAUCUGUUCUUGUACAACGUGCACUCCUGUAUGAAAGUAUGGAAAAGUACAAACUUGGGGCAGAAGACCUGAGGACUGUUCUGAAGAUCGAUCCUGCUAAUAGCAUUGCAAGGAGUACCAUUCACCGCUUGACUAAAAUGGUAGAUUAGAAAGAUUCUGGAUUUUACACUGUAUUUUAUUUUAUUUUAUUUUUUCAUUUAUUUAUUUUAAGGAUAGAAUCAGAAAUUAAUUUGAAGUUACCUGUUGGACUCAAUUUUGAAGUUGACAAAAGUUCAAGGCUAUCUAAUUGAAUUGAAUUUUUGGUUAUAUAGUCUUGUAGCUAUUUUUCCUAAUAUAAAAUGGUAUAUGGAUAGAUGAUAAAACAACAGAAUUAGACAUAGAAGAUAAACAUAUUGCAAAAUAUUUUGCUAGAAAUGAUCAGAAGCAGCUAUUGCUGGUUGUAUUCAGACCAGUUAAGUAAAUGCAUUAAGGUUGAUAUACUAAGUUCUCUGAGUUUACUGCUAUGAAUACUUUUUUUUUAAUAAAUUGGGGAAAUAAUGAUUGCUAAGGUGAAAAUUUAUUUGAUCGCAAGAUUCCCA
RNAcentral lists this unclassified non-coding RNA (2388 nucleotides) under Hevea brasiliensis (rubber tree). Lineage: Eukaryota; Viridiplantae; Streptophyta; Magnoliopsida; Malpighiales; Euphorbiaceae. The record is from RNAcentral.